This 207-nucleotide long non-coding RNA is filed under the name Lupinus angustifolius (narrow-leaved blue lupine). Its description in RNAcentral is "long non-coding RNA (LANG_LNC001628)". The record is from RNAcentral. Lineage: Eukaryota; Viridiplantae; Streptophyta; Magnoliopsida; Fabales; Fabaceae.
UUCCACUUCCAUCAAUAAUUUGAGGCCCCAAAAGCAUUUUGUUCUCCCUUUCAUGAACUGUAGUUGCACGAAGGCCCUGCCCUCAAAUAUCUAAAAUUACACAUAUAUGUUACGUUGUUAUGCUCAAUAAUAGAAAAUAUAUAAAUUUAAAACAUGUAGAUCACCUAAUGUGAGAUUCUGAUACCCAUUCGCUUCAACAACUAGAAG